GAUGAACGCUGGCGGCGUGCCUAAUACAUGCAAGUAGAACGCUGAAGCUUGGUGCUUGCACCGAGCGGAUGAGUUGCGAACGGGUGAGUAACGCGUAGGUAACCUGCCUCUUAGCGGGGGAUAACUAUUGGAAACGAUAGCUAAUACCGCAUAAAAGUCGAUAUCGCAUGAUAUUGAUUUGAAAGGUGCAAAUGCAUCACUAAGAGAUGGACCUGCGUUGUAUUAGCUAGUUGGUGAGGUAACGGCUCACCAAGGCGACGAUACAUAGCCGACCUGAGAGGGUGAUCGGCCACACUGGGACUGAGACACGGCCCAGACUCCUACGGGUGGCAGCAGUAGGGAAUCUUCGGCAAUGGGGGCAACCCUGACCGAGCAACGCCGCGUGAGUGAAGAAGGUUUUCGGAUCGUAAAGCUCUGUUGUAAGAGAAGAACGAGUGUGAGAGUGGAAAGUUCACACUGUGACGGUAACUUACCAGAAAGGGACGGCUAACUACGUG
RNAcentral lists this ribosomal RNA (497 nucleotides) under uncultured bacterium. Its description in RNAcentral is "partial 16S ribosomal RNA". It matches the Rfam family "Bacterial small subunit ribosomal RNA", at positions 28 to 507 of the family's 1533-position model. The record is from RNAcentral.